RNAcentral lists this long non-coding RNA (1888 nucleotides) under Homo sapiens (human). Its description in RNAcentral is "HSALNT0019368". Lineage: Eukaryota; Metazoa; Chordata; Mammalia; Primates; Hominidae. The record is from RNAcentral.
GUGCCUUCACUUGCUCUCCAACUGUGGAUCUGGAUUCUCCACUGCCAGAAGUCAUGGAUGAAGGACCAUCCUCAGGGCCAUCUUCUGAGAAUAGAAACGGAGCAUUUGCUUUCUGAACACAUUUGUGUGUCCUUCUUCCUUCUCUUCCCUGACCAACUGGAGCACCUAUAAGAGGUAGCCUACAGCUUAUAUAAAGCUCUGUUAAAUGCCAGAAGAUGUAUUUCCUAUUCUGUCUGGUUGGCUUGCUGCUUAAAAAUCAGAAUACAGAAGAGAAGACAGUCUUGUGGAGGGUCAAAGGAGCCACUGUUUGUAGUUAUUUGGGAUCUUUGAGGAAACCCCUGCUAAAAUAACUUGAUUGAGAUUUUCCUUAGUCUGGACCAAACCUUCCCAUUAUUGGACACAGAUGGUCAGCUAGUAAUCAAUCAUCUAUAAUUAUGCUUUGGAAAAACCUCAUGAGCAAAGACCCUCGACUUGUAGUCAAAGCUACAAUUUUGUCAAGCAGCUCCAUUAGAUGUCUCAUUUCCCAGCCAUCAGGAGGAGGAAAGAGGGAAUGAAGAACAAGCUUCUUCCUGUGGGUGUGACCCAGAGGUUGUUCGUGUCACUUCUAUUCACAUUUGCUUGUGUAGAACUUACACAAUCAUACUUAACUUCAAGAAAGAUUGGGCAACAUAGUUUAUAGCGGGGAGGAUUUAUGCCCUGAAAUUGAUGGUGUCAUCUUUUCAUCUUCCCUCUCUCACCAUUAGCAUGUAAUCUGUAACUGAAUUUGAACAAUCCAACUUCCAAAUGAUUUCCAUUUUUCUCCAUAUUCCUAACAACACUUUAGUCUAAAGCGUCCUCAUCCUUGCCUAGUUUACUACAAUAACCUAAUUGGUCAGCGUGCUUCCAUUCUUGCCCCACCAAGUCAUUUCUGACACCGUGGCCGCUAAUUCUUAAGAAUAGAAACCAAAUCAUCACUCUUCUUUAAGGCCUUUAGUGUCUAUUUCCAUAGAAUAAAAUCCAUACCCUGCACCAUGAGCCGUAAGACCUGGCAAUGACCUGGCUCUACCCAAGACAAAGAAUAUCUCUUGAUACUAUUAAAUAUAGAUGUCUGGACUGAAUUGAGCUUACACGACAAUUGCAGUCAAGAUUCUGCAACUCAGAACGGGCAAACCAGCUGAAUCAAUUUACCCUGUGAUCCUGUCUGCUGGGAAGCAUUGAAAUAGUAAGGAAGUCUGAUGUGCCUGCAGGUUAAUCCAGCUGUCUGGGUACCUAAGCAUCAAGGGUGGAAAGGGAGACUGGAAGUGCAAGUCUGAAAGGAGAAAAAAGAAGGUGAAACCAGUCUGCAGGAGAAAUGACUGGGAAUUUAGAAGGAGUGGGCACCCACAAGAGAAGAGAAGACACGAAGUGAGAAAAGGCUGCUGCUUGCCAAGGCACUUUUAAGAACGGGACAUCUUAUCACUUUUCAGUUGUUUGAGCUUCUUGCUCCCCAGACUUUCAGCUAAAAUUGUGGCUGUUUUGUUGGCGGAAAUCAGUGAAAAGAAAAUGAGUUCUGUGUCUAGUUCAGUUUACAGCAGAGGCAAGACGAUGCCUGAAGCAGGUGGCAAGGAGUGAAAGGGGAGUGUGCAUGGAAGCAGCAGGUCAGAGCCAGAGUUUAUCAUGAAAGUCUGAGCCCUCGCAAACAUGGUUCAUGCACAACCCAUAAAAUUUCAUCAAACUCUCAGUCUCAAAAAUUUUACAGAGCUUUCACUCUAGCAUCUGAAAAAGGAACCAACUCCUGCUAAAUCUUGAGAAUUGACACAUUGAAGCCUUAUCUUCAGACUCUGAAAAAGCUGGAAGCUUAUCAUGGGCCUGGAUCUUGUGCUAUUCAAAUGUUUUCACCGAUGCCUACAACUGUAUUUGGCACAUAGAA